This 253-nucleotide ribosomal RNA is filed under the name uncultured bacterium. RNAcentral describes it as "partial 16S ribosomal RNA". It matches the Rfam family "Bacterial small subunit ribosomal RNA", at positions 524 to 776 of the family's 1533-position model. The record is from RNAcentral.
UACGGAGGGGGCUAGCGUUGUUCGGAAUUACUGGGCGUAAAGCGCACGUAGGCGGCUUUGUAAGUUAGAGGUGAAAGCCCCGGGCUCAACCUGGGAAUUGCAUUCGAGACUGUGUGGCUAGGGUGCGGAAGAGGGAAGCGGAAUUUCCGGUGUAGCGGUGAAAUGCGUAGAUAUCGGAAGGAACACCAGUGGCGAAAGCGGCUUCCUGGUCCAGCACCGACGUUCAGGCACGAAAGCGUGGGGAGCAAACAGG